RNAcentral lists this ribosomal RNA (136 nucleotides) under uncultured bacterium. RNAcentral's name for it is "partial 16S ribosomal RNA". It matches the Rfam family "Bacterial small subunit ribosomal RNA", at positions 395 to 523 of the family's 1533-position model. The record is from RNAcentral.
UGCCGCGUGUGUGAAGAAGGCCUUAGGGUUGUAAAGCACUUUCAGGGGUGAGGAAGGGUGUAUGGUUAAUAUCCAAACAUUUUGACGUUAGCCCCAGAAGAAGCACCGGCUAACUCUGUGCCAGCCGCCGCGGUAA